This 2928-nucleotide ribosomal RNA is filed under the name Salmonella enterica. Its description in RNAcentral is "bacterial LSU rRNA". It matches the Rfam family "Bacterial large subunit ribosomal RNA". The record is from RNAcentral. Lineage: Bacteria; Pseudomonadati; Pseudomonadota; Gammaproteobacteria; Enterobacterales; Enterobacteriaceae.
GGGUUGUGAGGUUAAGCGACUAAGCGUACACGGUGGAUGCCCUGGCAGUCAGAGGCGAUGAAGGGCGUGCUAAUCUGCGAUAAGCGCCGGUAAGGUGAUAUGAACCGUUAUAACCGGCGAUACCCGAAUGGGGAAACCCAGUGUGACUCGUCACACUAUCAUUAACUGAAUCCAUAGGUUAAUGAGGCGAACCGGGGGAACUGAAACAUCUAAGUACCCCGAGGAAAAGAAAUCAACCGAGAUUCCCCCAGUAGCGGCGAGCGAACGGGGAGGAGCCCAGAGCCUGAAUCAGCAUGUGUGUUAGUGGAAGCGUCUGGAAAGGCGCGCGAUACAGGGUGACAGCCCCGUACACAAAAGCGCAUGUGCUGUGAGCUCGAUGAGUAGGGCGGGACACGUGGUAUCCUGUCUGAAUAUGGGGGGACCAUCCUCCAAGGCUAAAUACUCCUGACUGACCGAUAGUGAACCAGUACCGUGAGGGAAAGGCGAAAAGAACCCCGGCGAGGGGAGUGAAAAAGAACCUGAAACCGUGUACGUACAAGCAGUGGGAGCACAGGUUUACCUGUGUGACUGCGUACCUUUUGUAUAAUGGGUCAGCGACUUAUAUUCUGUAGCAAGGUUAACCGAAUAGGGGAGCCGGAGGGAAACCGAGUCUUAAUUGGGCGUUAAGUUGCAGGGUAUAGACCCGAAACCCGGUGAUCUAGCCAUGGGCAGGUUGAAGGUUGGGUAACACUAACUGGAGGACCGAACCGACUAAUGUUGAAAAAUUAGCGGAUGACCUGUGGCUGGGGGUGAAAGGCCAAUCAAACCGGGAGAUAGCUGGUUCUCCCCGAAAGCUAUUUAGGUAGCGCCUCGUGAAUUCAUCUCCGGGGGUAGAGCACUGUUUCGGCUAGGGGGCCAUCCCGGCUUACCAACCCGAUGCAAACUGCGAAUACCGGAGAAUGUUAUCACGGGAGACACACGGCGGGUGCUAACGUCCGUCGUGAAGAGGGAAACAACCCAGACCGCCAGCUAAGGUCCCAAAGUCAUGGUUAAGUGGGAAACGAUGUGGGAAGGCCCAGACAGCCAGGAUGUUGGCUUAGAAGCAGCCAUCAUUUAAAGAAAGCGUAAUAGCUCACUGGUCGAGUCGGCCUGCGCGGAAGAUGUAACGGGGCUAAACCAUGCACCGAAGCUGCGGCAGCGACACUGUGUGUUGUUGGGUAGGGGAGCGUUCUGUAAGCCUGUGAAGGUGUGUCGUGAGGCAUGCUGGAGGUAUCAGAAGUGCGAAUGCUGACAUAAGUAACGAUAAAGCGGGUGAAAAGCCCGCUCGCCGGAAGACCAAGGGUUCCUGUCCAACGUUAAUCGGGGCAGGGUGAGUCGACCCCUAAGGCGAGGCCGAAAGGCGUAGUCGAUGGGAAACAGGUUAAUAUUCCUGUACUUGGUGUUACUGCGAAGGGGGGACGGAGAAGGCUAUGUUGGCCGGGCGACGGUUGUCCCGGUUUAAGCGUGUAGGUGUGUGUUCCAGGUAAAUCCGGUUCACUUUAACACUGAGGCGUGAUGACGAGGCACUACGGUGCUGAAGCAACAAAUGCCCUGCUUCCAGGAAAAGCCUCUAAGCAUCAGGUAACAUCAAAUCGUACCCCAAACCGACACAGGUGGUCAGGUAGAGAAUACCAAGGCGCUUGAGAGAACUCGGGUGAAGGAACUAGGCAAAAUGGUGCCGUAACUUCGGGAGAAGGCACGCUGACACGUAGGUGAAGUGAUUUACUCAUGGAGCUGAAGUCAGUCGAAGAUACCAGCUGGCUGCAACUGUUUAUUAAAAACACAGCACUGUGCAAACACGAAAGUGGACGUAUACGGUGUGACGCCUGCCCGGUGCCGGAAGGUUAAUUGAUGGGGUCAGCGCAAGCGAAGCUCCUGAUCGAAGCCCCGGUAAACGGCGGCCGUAACUAUAACGGUCCUAAGGUAGCGAAAUUCCUUGUCGGGUAAGUUCCGACCUGCACGAAUGGCGUAAUGAUGGCCAGGCUGUCUCCACCCGAGACUCAGUGAAAUUGAACUCGCUGUGAAGAUGCAGUGUACCCGCGGCAAGACGGAAAGACCCCGUGAACCUUUACUAUAGCUUGACACUGAACAUUGAGCCUUGAUGUGUAGGAUAGGUGGGAGGCUUUGAAGUGUGGACGCCAGUCUGCAUGGAGCCGACCUUGAAAUACCACCCUUUAAUGUUUGAUGUUCUAACGUGGACCCGUAAUCCGGGUUGCGGACAGUGUCUGGUGGGUAGUUUGACUGGGGCGGUCUCCUCCUAAAGAGUAACGGAGGAGCACGAAGGUUGGCUAAUCCUGGUCGGACAUCAGGAGGUUAGUGCAAUGGCAUAAGCCAGCUUGACUGCGAGCGUGACGGCGCGAGCAGGUGCGAAAGCAGGUCAUAGUGAUCCGGUGGUUCUGAAUGGAAGGGCCAUCGCUCAACGGAUAAAAGGUACUCCGGGGAUAACAGGCUGAUACCGCCCAAGAGUUCAUAUCGACGGCGGUGUUUGGCACCUCGAUGUCGGCUCAUCACAUCCUGGGGCUGAAGUAGGUCCCAAGGGUAUGGCUGUUCGCCAUUUAAAGUGGUACGCGAGCUGGGUUUAGAACGUCGUGAGACAGUUCGGUCCCUAUCUGCCGUGGGCGCUGGAGAACUGAGGGGGGCUGCUCCUAGUACGAGAGGACCGGAGUGGACGCAUCACUGGUGUUCGGGUUGUCAUGCCAAUGGCACUGCCCGGUAGCUAAAUGCGGAAGAGAUAAGUGCUGAAAGCAUCUAAGCACGAAACUUGCCCCGAGAUGAGUUCUCCCUGAGACUUAAAGUCUCCUGAAGGAACGUUGAAGACGACGACGUUGAUAGGCCGGGUGUGUAAGCGCAGCGAUGCGUUGAGCUAACCGGUACUAAUGAACCGUGAGGCUUAACCUUACAACGCCGAAG